This 497-nucleotide ribosomal RNA is filed under the name uncultured bacterium. RNAcentral's name for it is "partial 16S ribosomal RNA". It matches the Rfam family "Bacterial small subunit ribosomal RNA", at positions 28 to 507 of the family's 1533-position model. The record is from RNAcentral.
GAUGAACGCUGGCGGCAUGCCUUACACAUGCAAGUCGAACGGCAAGAUGACGUACUUGCCUCGCUUGCGUGCGCGGGGCGCGGGUGUGAAACAUGCGUAUGAACUACCUUUUUGAUUGGGAAAAACGCGGGAAACGGGAGCCUAUUACGGCAAAUUUUCUGAAGCGGAAGGCUGGAUAGUUACAGGCGGUUUUCCUGACAAUUGUCGAUUGUUGUGUGCGGCAUUGGCUAGUUGGUAAGGUAACGGCUUACAAAGGCAACGAUGCGUAGCGGACCUGAGAGGAUGAUCGGCCACACUGGAACUGAGACACGGCCCAGACUCCUACGGGAGGCAGCAGUGGGGAAUUUUCGGCAAUGGGCGCAAGCCUGACGCAGCCAUGCCGCGUGAGUGAAGAAGGCCUUCGGGUCGUAAAGCUCUGUUGGCUGGGAAGAAAACGUGUCUUCUAAUACAGGGUGUGCAUGACGGUACCAGAACAAGAAGCACCGGCUAACUACGUG